This 497-nucleotide ribosomal RNA is filed under the name uncultured bacterium. RNAcentral's name for it is "partial 16S ribosomal RNA". It matches the Rfam family "Bacterial small subunit ribosomal RNA", at positions 28 to 507 of the family's 1533-position model. The record is from RNAcentral.
GAUGAACGCUGGCGGCGUGCCUAAUACAUGCAAGUCGAGCGACCAGACAAGGAGCUUUCUCCUUUAACGUUAGCGACGGACGGGUGAGUGACACGUGGAUAACCUACCUCUUAGACUGGGAUAAUUUCGGGAAACCGGUGCCACUACUGCAUCAUAUAUUCUACCGCUGAGUUCAAUAGUUCAUGCCGCCUUUCGCGUCUGUAUGAGACGGAUCCGCACCGGCUUAGCUAGUUGGUAAGGUAACGGCUUACCAAGGCGACGAUGCGUAGCCGAUCUGAUAGGGUGAUCGGCCACACUGGAACUGAGACACGGUCCAGACUCCUACGGGAGGCAGCAGUAGGGAAUCUUCGGCAAUGGGCGCAAGCCUGACGCAGCAACGCCGCGUGAGUGAUGAAGGUCUUCGGAUCGUAAAGCUCUUUUGUUAGGGAAGAAAAAAAGUAUGUGUAACUAUGCACGUCUUGACGGUACCUAAAGAGAAAGCCACGGCUAACUUCGUG